RNAcentral lists this long non-coding RNA (578 nucleotides) under Vulpes vulpes (red fox). RNAcentral's name for it is "lncRNA (ENSVVUG00000001991.1)". Lineage: Eukaryota; Metazoa; Chordata; Mammalia; Carnivora; Canidae. The record is from RNAcentral.
UGCUUUCCAUGUGUUAAUUUGUUUAGUUCUUGCAAGAUCCUUCAGGUAGUUACUAUUAUUAUUUCCUUUUUACAGAUGAGGAAACUGAAUCACAAAGAGGUUAUAUAAAAAUAUGUUAAAGUGCUUGGAACAGAAGCCGGUAAUUAUUUUUAUUGUAAUCAUUUUGUUAUACUCCCAUUCUUGGGCUGAGCAGGAUGUUGAAUAGCUGAGGUGACGGUACCUGCAAGGCGAAAGGCAAAGUCAGUUCACAGACUGAUAAGGUGUCACAGACUUCAUCUCUAUAAAUAUGUAGCUCUUCCCAAAACUGAAAAUAAUAAAUAGAAAUUUCCACCCUGUUUUACUGGGAUCCUUUCCUAAUGUCAUACUUUGGUGUGGAACAUAUUUAAAGGCCAGUCAUGAGGCAGAGAAGUGGAAUGAAGUCCACCAGAGAUGGCGAAUUUUUCGUGGAAAAACUGCAAUGACACCACAGAAUCAACACAGAUACUGGGGAAAUGAGAUAUGUGUGGACACAUUUUAUAAGGAGGAGCUCCUUCUGUAUAUCUCAAUAUCUGAAUUUGGCAGAUUGUUUUGUAAUUAUC